UACGUAGGGUGCAAGCGUUGUCCGGAAUUAUUGGGCGUAAAGAGCUCGUAGGCGGUCUGUCGCGUCUGCUGUGAAAACUCGGGGCUUAACCCCGGGCCUGCAGUGGGUACGGGCAGACUAGAGUGCGGUAGGGGAGACUGGAAUUCCUGGUGUAGCGGUGGAAUGCGCAGAUAUCAGGAGGAACACCGAUGGCGAAGGCAGGUCUCUGGGCCAUUACUGACACUGAGAAGCGAAAGCAUGGGGAGCGAACAGG
This 253-nucleotide ribosomal RNA is filed under the name uncultured bacterium. RNAcentral's name for it is "partial 16S ribosomal RNA". It matches the Rfam family "Bacterial small subunit ribosomal RNA", at positions 524 to 776 of the family's 1533-position model. The record is from RNAcentral.